This 967-nucleotide unclassified non-coding RNA is filed under the name Hevea brasiliensis (rubber tree). The record is from RNAcentral. Lineage: Eukaryota; Viridiplantae; Streptophyta; Magnoliopsida; Malpighiales; Euphorbiaceae.
AAAAAAAUACAGGAUGCAAAUCAGUACGGAAAUUCCCAAUGAAAAUGAAAAGGAGUUAACAAUGGAAAAUUGCCAAAAGGAUCAACAAAAUAAUAAAACAAAAAACAAACUGAAACUAAAGAUUUACUAGGCCUCAUUUACUAUCUUGCAAUUUAUCCAGAAAUUCAAAAAAAGAGACCCAUCGUAAAAGCCAACCACAACCUCACUUGCAUUCAACACCUGCCUCAGCAGCUCUACGAGGCUUGUUUUUCCGCCUGCUUCCAUUAUGUCGAAAUCCAUUAGAUUUAGUUGAGUCCUCAGUAGUCGAUCUGGUAGCAACACCAUUUUCUUCCUUCACUGAAUCAGGUUUCUCCUUUGCCUGUGAGUAGCGUUUCCUCUUCUUUCCAUUUUCUGCUGCUAUUGGACUUUUUGUCUCUGUGCUUGUAAUGCCUGUUUUUCCAUUCUCUCCAUCUUCCUCCUCUAUUUUUUCAACUUCCUCUUCAUCAACAUCAUCUUUCAGUGGUUUUUGAGGCCUUCCCCUUCUUUUCUGUGCUGGAAUUUUCUCUUCCUCACCACUUCCAGGAUCAUCAUGAUUGCUGACAUUCAACUUUUUCGCCUUUCCUCUACCUCUACCCAUAAUUUUAUAAUCCCGUGAAAGAAAUACUCACAUGGACAAAGAAUCUUUCUGGUUUUGGGAAAAACUUAUUUGCAUCCUCAACAAGAGACCCAUCACUUUGAAUCUGUUAAGAAAGCAAACAAAACUUAAAAAAGAAAACACCAAAACCCAACUCGGUUCUUCCCCCGCUAAUGAACAAAAGUAAUGAUUUUUGAAGGCUAAAACAAUGAUCUAAAGAAGGGACACUUGAUACGCAGAUCAAGAAACAUUGAAAUUCGAAGAUAUUAAGGAUUUACACAGGGUAGUAGAGUUGUGGCCCCCCAAAAAAAAUGGCCAAAUGAAACCCACACACAGAGAGAGACAGAAAGAAAG